GACGAACGCUGGCGGCGUGCCUAAUACAUGCAAGUCGAACGCUUCUUUCCUCCCGAGUGCUUGCACUCAAUUGGAAAGAGGAGUGGCGGACGGGUGAGUAACACGUGGGUAACCUACCCAUCAGAGGGGGAUAACACUUGGAAACAGGUGCUAAUACCGCAUAACAGUUUAUGCCGCAUGGCAUAAGAGUGAAAGGCGCUUUCGGGUGUCGCUGAUGGAUGGACCCGCGGUGCAUUAGCUAGUUGGUGAGGUAACGGCUCACCAAGGCCACGAUGCAUAGCCGACCUGAGAGGGUGAUCGGCCACACUGGGACUGAGACACGGCCCAGACUCCUACGGGAGGCAGCAGUAGGGAAUCUUCGGCAAUGGACGAAAGUCUGACCGAGGAACGCCGCGUGAGUGAAGAAGGUUUUCGGAUCGUAAAACUCUGUUGUUAGAGAAGAACAAGGACGUUAGUAACUGAACGUCCCCUGACGGUAUCUAACCAGAAAGCCACGGCUAACUACGUG
Molecule: ribosomal RNA, 508 nt
Filed under: uncultured bacterium
Lineage: Bacteria
Description: partial 16S ribosomal RNA
Rfam family: Bacterial small subunit ribosomal RNA
Source: RNAcentral